UGUGAUAAGGUAAGGGAAAAAACUGAUGUUACCUUACUAUUAGUGUUGUCCAAAUCUGGUGCCAGAAGACUCGGUAAGACCAGAAACACAAACGUUAAUCGUCUUUAUCAGGCGUAAAGGGUUUUUAGGCUGCUUUUACUAUUUCUAUUUAAAAUAGCUAUGAUAAAAUCAGUUAAAUAGGNAAAAAAAAAUAAAAGCUAGAAUCAAAUAGAGGAUAAGCCAAAUAAUACUUAGAGUAGGGAUGAUAUCCAUAGAUACUAAGUGGAAUACUAAAGGUGAAAGCUUUUAUCUACUAAUGAUUGACGCUGAGAAACGAAGGUGAGAAUAGGAAAUAGGAUUAGAUACCCAGAUACCUCUCACUGUCAACGAUGAAUGGUGGUUUUUAGUUUUAAUAAAAACUGAUAACGAUGCUAACGCGAUAACCAUUCCGCCUUGCGAGUACGGUU
Molecule: ribosomal RNA, 446 nt
Filed under: Amanita roseotincta
Lineage: Eukaryota; Fungi; Basidiomycota; Agaricomycetes; Agaricales; Amanitaceae
Description: partial 12S small ribosomal RNA subunit
Rfam family: Bacterial small subunit ribosomal RNA
Source: RNAcentral